CCUACGGGUGGCAGCAGUGGGGGAUAUUGCACAAUGGUGGAAACCCUGAUGCAGCGACGCCGCGUGGGUGAAGAAGCGCCUCGGCGCGUAAAGCCCUGUCAUCAGGGAAGAAAAUAACGGUACCUGCAGCAGAAGCCCCGGCUAACUACGUGCCAACAGCCGCGGUAAUACGUAGGGGGCAAGCGUUAUCCGGAUUUACUGGGUGUAAAGGGGUCGCAUACGGGGAUGCAAGCCAGGCGUGAAAGCCCGGGGCCAAACCCCGGGACUGCUAUGUGAACUGCGUGGCUUGAGUACUGGAGAGGCAUACGGAAUUCCUAGUGUAGCGGUGAAAUGCGUAGAUAUUAGGAGGAACACCAGUGGCGAAGGCGGUCUGCUGGACAGCAACUGACGGUGAGGCGCGAAAGCGUGGGGAGCAAACAGGAUUAGAUACCCCUGUAGUC
Molecule: ribosomal RNA, 440 nt
Filed under: uncultured bacterium
Lineage: Bacteria
Description: partial 16S ribosomal RNA
Rfam family: Bacterial small subunit ribosomal RNA
Source: RNAcentral